CGCACAUUGCGCCCGCCAGUAUUCUGGCGGGCAUGCCUGUUCGAGCGUCAUUUCAACCCUCGGAUCCCUGAUUUCAGGGAGCCGGUGUUGGGGCUCGGGCCGCCCUCGUGGCAGCCCGUCCCCUAAAUUCAGUGGCGGUCUCGCUGCAGCCUCCCCUGCGUAGUAGCACACCUCGCAGUACGGAGCGCGGCCUGGCCACGCCGUAAAACCCCCAAUUUUACCAAGGUUGACCUCGGAUCAGGUAGGAAUACCCGCUGAACUUAA
RNAcentral lists this unclassified non-coding RNA (264 nucleotides) under Acremonium sp. RNAcentral's name for it is "partial contains 5.8S ribosomal RNA, internal transcribed spacer 2, and large subunit ribosomal RNA". Lineage: Eukaryota; Fungi; Ascomycota; Sordariomycetes; Hypocreales; Bionectriaceae. The record is from RNAcentral.